Molecule: long non-coding RNA, 219 nt
Organism: Otolemur garnettii (small-eared galago)
Lineage: Eukaryota; Metazoa; Chordata; Mammalia; Primates; Galagidae
Exons: 3
Source: RefSeq, a predicted model, not a curated record
UGGUCUUCCCGUUCGUCAGAUAGCCGCUUCUUCUAGUGCAGCGCCAGGUGCAAACAGGCAAAGAGGAACACCGCAUCCCCGAGGCACCAUGGUGAAACCGAAGGUCGGAAUAAACGGCUUUGGUCGAAUUGGGCGCCUGGUCUGCAGAGCUGCUUUUAACUCUGGCAAGGUGGAUAUUGUCGCCAUCAAUGACCCCUUCAUUGACCUCAACUACAUGGU